This 575-nucleotide ribosomal RNA is filed under the name Lentinus brumalis. RNAcentral describes it as "partial 28S ribosomal RNA". It matches the Rfam family "Eukaryotic large subunit ribosomal RNA", at positions 91 to 648 of the family's 3401-position model. The record is from RNAcentral. Lineage: Eukaryota; Fungi; Basidiomycota; Agaricomycetes; Polyporales; Polyporaceae.
GAGUGAAGCGGGAAAAGCUCAAAUUUAAAAUCUGGCGGUCUUUGGCCGUCCGAGUUGUAGUCUGGAGAAGUGCUUUCCGCGCUGGACCGUGUAUAAGUCUCUUGGAACAGAGCGUCAUAGAGGGUGAGAAUCCCGUCUUUGACACGGACUACCAGUGCUUUGUGAUGCGCUCUCAAAGAGUCGAGUUGUUUGGGAAUGCAGCUCAAAAUGGGUGGUGAAUUCCAUCUAAAGCUAAAUAUUGGCGAGAGACCGAUAGCGAACAAGUACCGUGAGGGAAAGAUGAAAAGCACUUUGGAAAGAGAGUUAAACAGUACGUGAAAUUGCUGAAAGGGAAACGCUUGAAGUCAGUCGCGUUUGCCGGAACUCAGCCUUCCUUUUGGUUGGUGCACUUUCCGGUAGACGGGCCAGCAUCGAUUUCGACCGUCGGAUAAGGGCUGGGGAAAUGUGGCACCUUUCGGGGUGUGUUAUAGUCCUCAGUCGCAUACGUCGGUUGGGAUCGAGGAUCGCAGCGCGCCGCAAGGCAGGGGUUCGCCCACUUUCGCGCUUAGGAUGCUGGCAUAAUGGCUUUAAACGAC